GACGAACGCUGGCGGCGUGCUUAACACAUGCAAGUCGAACGGAAAGGCCUGCUUUCCCUUGUGGAUUGCGGGUACUCGAGUGGCGAACGGGUGAGUAACACGUGAGUGAUCUGCCCCCAACUUGGGUAUAAGCCUGGGAAACUGGGUCUAAUUCCCGAUAGGACUGCAGGGUGGUGCCUGUGGUGGAAAACGAUUUUCUAGUGGUUGGGGAUGAGCUCGCGGCCUAUCAGCUUGUUGGUGGGGUAAUGGCCUACCAAGGCGGCGACGGGUAGCCGGCCUGGGAGAGCGGACGUGCACAUUGGGACUGAGAUACGGCGCAGACUACUACGGGAGGACGCAGUGGGGAAUAUUGCACAAUGGGCAGUGGCCUGAUGCAGCGACGCCGCGUGGGGGAUGACGGCCUUCGGGUUGUAACCUCCUUGCGACCGCGAGGAAGCGCCUUGGUUGGAGGGGUGGUGACGGUAGUGGUAGAAGAAGCACCGGCUAACUACGUG
This 494-nucleotide ribosomal RNA is filed under the name uncultured bacterium. Its description in RNAcentral is "partial 16S ribosomal RNA". It matches the Rfam family "Bacterial small subunit ribosomal RNA", at positions 28 to 507 of the family's 1533-position model. The record is from RNAcentral.